Molecule: long non-coding RNA, 915 nt
Filed under: Homo sapiens (human)
Lineage: Eukaryota; Metazoa; Chordata; Mammalia; Primates; Hominidae
Description: HSALNT0175204
Source: RNAcentral
GUAAAGUACUUAUGGUUGCUUCACCAUAAUCGAGGAAACUUUCACUAACAAAUUUUAGUGUUGGUACAUUUUGUAUUCUUGGUCAUAAAAUAAGGGGCUUGUGCAGGUGCAUUUCCACCAAUUAGGUCAAUAUUUACAUAGUCAUGCAAAGAUAGUAUCUUUCUUUUUCUAUGAAAAAAUUCCCCAGCAUGUGAGAAUAUUCAACUACCUUUCUACAUUAUUAAGUUUAAGCAUCUUUAUAUUUUUGUCAUCUGCUUUGGAUAGUGCCGUAAUUCUCUAAUGACCAAGAUAAUGAAAAGCCUGUGUGGAAGAGUGGAAGCUGUAGCCACUAGGAACGAAUUCUAUAUCCCUGGAUCAGCCAUCCAUUUCGUGUGUUUUAUGAUCACACAUAGAUGCAUGAGGUAUCUACAAUAAUGCUCUGUGAAAGAAGCAUUGCUUUUCUGGAAAAUGAUUUUUGAAACUCUGUUUUUGUACAUUCUGCAAAUGGAAAUUUGGAAGCUCAUUGAUGCCAUUGGUGAAAAAGCAAAUAUCCACAGAGAAAAACUAAAAGGAAUCUAUCAGAGAAACCAGUCUGUGAUGUGUGCAUUCCCUGGCAGAGGUAAACCUUUCUUUUGAUUCAGCAGUUUGGAAACUGUUUUAGUCCAUUCUGUAAAUGGACAUUUGGGAGCUCAUUGAGGCCAUUGGAGAAAAAGCGAAUUGAGGCCAUUGGAGAAAAAGCGAAUUUCCCAGGAUAAAAACUUGAAGGAAGCAAUCGAGAAACUGCUUUGUGAUGUGUGCUUUCAUCUCACAGAGGUAAACCAUUCUUUUCAUUCAGCAGUUUGGAAACACUGUUUUUGUCCAUUCUGUGAAUGGACAUUUGGGAGCUCAUUGAGGUCAUCGGAGAAAAAGUGAAUAUCCCAGGGUAAAAACUAGAAG